AGCAGUGAGGAAUAUUGGGCAAUGGGCGAAAGCCUGACCCAGNCACGCCGNGUGUGUGAUGAAGGCCUUCGGGUCGUAAAGCACUGUGGGGAGAGACGAAACAGCGCAUCAGGAAAUGGGUGCGCCUUGACGGUACCUCCUUAGCAAGCACCGGCUAACUCUGUGCCAGCAGCCGCGGUAAUACAGAGGGUGCAAACGUUGCUCGGAUUUACUGGGCGUAAAGCGCGUGUAGGCGGACUCGCAAGUCGGUUGUGAAAUCCCUGGGCUUAACCUAGGAACUGCAUCCGAAACUGCUUGUCUUGAGUAAUGGAGAGGGUGGCGGAAUUCCCGGUGUAGAGGUGAAAUUCGUAGAUAUCGGGAGGAACAUCAGUGGCGAAGGCGGCCACCUGGACAUUUACUGACGNUGAGACGCGAAAGCGUGGGGAGCAAACAGGAUUAGAUACCCUGGUAGUCCACGCCGUAAACGAUGAGAACUAGGUGCAGCGGAUAU
RNAcentral lists this ribosomal RNA (490 nucleotides) under uncultured Anaeromyxobacter sp. RNAcentral's name for it is "bacterial SSU rRNA". It matches the Rfam family "Bacterial small subunit ribosomal RNA", at positions 350 to 832 of the family's 1533-position model. The record is from RNAcentral. Lineage: Bacteria; Pseudomonadati; Myxococcota; Myxococcia; Myxococcales; Anaeromyxobacteraceae.